Molecule: long non-coding RNA, 894 nt
Filed under: Musa acuminata (dwarf banana)
Lineage: Eukaryota; Viridiplantae; Streptophyta; Magnoliopsida; Zingiberales; Musaceae
Description: long non-coding RNA (MACU_LNC006411)
Source: RNAcentral
AAGCAUGCUGCUCUUGAGGUUCAUGCUUUAGAAUUAUUUUCUAUUAUUGAGUUUUAUUUCUUUUUCAGAAUAAUCCUACGGUCUAUAGCUUCCCUCGUGGGAAGAAAAAUAGAUCCCAUUGAGCAAUUGUGUUUAGAGUGAUGCUAAUGUUGACAUAUCCACCAUGUCCUAAGCUUGCAUUGAGAGUACAUCUUACCAUGACUGAUAAAUUGUCCGUGACUUAAUAGUUGUUGAGGAUUAUAAUAAUUGAUUGCUCUUCUCUUUUGUUUGUACAUAAGGCUGCAGAAAGUAAUUAUAAACAGUCACUUUUGUUGUGGUUUCAUGAACCUUUUCCGUGUUUACUCAGUCUAAUAUCUAGUACUGGGUGAACUUUUCCAUGAUGGAUACACAUUUUAUGGAGCAUAGAUGCAUAAUAUGUAUCAACCAUUAAAUCUACAUCUUUAAAAUUCAUCAUCUUAUUUAACCCAAGCAUUUAUCAUAUUAACAUAACGUACUUUUUCUUGCUGUUCUAAAUUUAUUAGUUAUUUAAAUAUUUUGUUCUGCAUUUUGUCAAUCAUGGUGAUCUGAUAUGCUCUCACUGCAAUCAUGGUGAUCUGAUAUGCUCUCACUUUGUACAAAAGGCUGCAGAAAGCAAUUAUAAACAGUCACUGGUUUCAUGAACCUUUUCUGUGUUUACUCAGUCUAAUAUCUAGUAUCGGGUGAACUUUUCCAUGAUGGAUACACAUUUUAUGGAGCAUAAAUGCGUAAUAUGAAUCAACCAUUAUAUCUACAUCUUUAAAAUUCAUCAUCUUAUUUAACCCAAGCAUUUAUCAUAUUAACAUAACAUACUUUUUCUUGCUGUUCUAAAUUUAUUAGUUAUUUAAAUAUUUUGUUCUUUGUCAAUCAUGGUGAUAU